Molecule: long non-coding RNA, 1081 nt
Organism: Priapulus caudatus
Lineage: Eukaryota; Metazoa; Priapulida; Priapulimorpha; Priapulimorphida; Priapulidae
Exons: 3
Source: RefSeq, a predicted model, not a curated record
CUUAGCCCAACCAGCGUUUAAGAAAAAGCACUGUUUGAGGAAACUAUAAUUGGGAAAAAGCUGCAUAUUUCAGAACGAUCAUCUGAUUCACAACACGACAGGCUCAACGUGAAUAGUAAGGCUGUAUCACGGUUAAAACCUCCUCCAGCAGCAAGCAGUGGUGCCCAUAAAUUGAUCACGUUAGGUGGCAGCUUAACACAGAGUCGAGCAGAGGAGCUAAAGUUGAAAAGACAGCCAGUUGCGUUUUCCAGUAACAGCAGUGAAGAGACAGUUUGUCAUGUGAGUGAAGUAGCGAAUGCAUCAAAGACUUCAGAUGGUAAAACUGAUGCUGAGUUGUUGAGGUGUCAGAAGCAUCUGGUGAAAGUUGACAGAACAUUCAUCACUCCGUGUACAGGGAUUGCCUCCACGUUUAAGCAACAAGGUCAUGAUCAACAGAACUUACACAGCGAGGAACUGCCCAACAACAAACGAAAACUAGUGACGAUUGAAAAAUAUGAAAGGGUGAUUUUAGACGAUGAGCAGGUGACUUCAGAGGAAGCUCGAAAAAAACACCGCAGUGCCAACCCAGCUAAGGUUCUUAGCGGUGAAAAGAAGCCUGUGUUAAAGAGGGUUGGAUCCCCAAGUUCUGAAUUAGAACAAAAACAUGCGAGGAUAUCCUGGCCAUGAACAGCAAUUAAACUUUACAGGUGUAUGAAAUAAUGAAUAUUUUGUUAGAGGUUUCCAACAGAUCAUUUCCCUGUAUGCUCUUAAAGCAAGCAGUCCACAGCAUGACACAAAUCGCAGUAGUCACCAAAAAUUAAUGUGAUCUUUCACACCUUUUGUUUAAAGGGAUAUUUUCCCCUAGAAUUUUAGAGUAUAUUAUGAUAGUAAGUGCAUAAAUAAUAACCUACAAAUUUAUGUAAUUACCCAUUCACGUUUGUCAUAAAACAACAGUGAAUUUUGAAAUCUUUUAUUUUGACUGCUGACAUGAUACCGCGCGAUUGUGCUGACACCCCGAAAAAGUUGCGAUUUUUCUGAUUUAUUUUGCACGUUACAGACUGAUGGCUAAUCACAAAAGUGCAAUUAUAUUUAAACCUAACUG